Molecule: transfer RNA, 86 nt
Filed under: Amylibacter sp.
Lineage: Bacteria; Pseudomonadati; Pseudomonadota; Alphaproteobacteria; Rhodobacterales; Paracoccaceae
Also listed under: 2 other names
Description: tRNA-Leu
Rfam family: tRNA
About the family: Transfer RNA (tRNA) molecules are approximately 80 nucleotides in length.
Source: RNAcentral
GCCUUGGUGGUGGAAUUGGUAUACACAACAGACUUAAAAUCUGUCGGCUUAUGGCUAUGCGGGUUCAAGUCCCGCCCAAGGCACCA